UACAGAGGGUGCGAGCGUUGUUCGGAAUUAUUGGGCGUAAAGGGCGCGUAGGCGGUGCGGUAAGUCACAUGUGAAAUCUCCUGGCUCAACUGGGAGCUUGCAGGCGAAACUGCCGUGCUGGAGUGUGGGAGAGGUGCGUGGAAUUCCUGGUGUAGCGGUGAAAUGCGUAGAUAUCAGGAGGAACACCUGUGGCGAAAGCGGCGCACUGGACCACAACUGACGCUGAGGCGCGAAAGCUAGGGGAGCAAACAGG
RNAcentral lists this ribosomal RNA (253 nucleotides) under uncultured bacterium. Its description in RNAcentral is "partial 16S ribosomal RNA". It matches the Rfam family "Bacterial small subunit ribosomal RNA", at positions 524 to 776 of the family's 1533-position model. The record is from RNAcentral.